Seriola aureovittata is the source of this 1328-nucleotide long non-coding RNA. RefSeq lists it as uncharacterized. The transcript has 3 exons. NCBI's taxonomy places the organism in Eukaryota, Metazoa, Chordata, Actinopteri, Carangiformes, Carangidae. The record is from RefSeq and is a predicted model, not a curated record.
GUUGCGUGUGUUGUUAGCAUGGCAGCUAACGUGGCUAACGUUUUGCGUCGUCCACACAGCCGGGUCUGUGUGACGUUGAUUAGAGCGAACCUGCUAACUUUAUCACACUUGAAAGGCGUUUUAGCUGUCUGCAAAGUCAAGCCAGUAAAAUUCAGACUAAACAGGCUUUGCAGCUAUUAGCAUAGGUCUCUGGGCUUGUUUGUUAGUGCUGUGAAAGGUAGUAUUGAGAGUCAUGCCUUAUGGUGUCCGUUUUAACGUUUAUGUCAUGUUUACAGAUACAGUGCCUGUGGGGAAUAUCUAUAUAAGCGCACCAGUUACAGGGAAUAUGUGAAAGGGGAUAGUCUGUAAUACACAUUUCUUGUGUUUUGCAGAUAUAGUGAGCUAUUUGCAGCAUUUACAAGCUAUUGACAACCCAAUUUACACAUAAUUGAGUGCAUUUGUUGUUAUCAUUUUUGCACUGCUUGCAGCUGUUGCCAUAACUACACAUUUGAGGAGAUGUUGGUGUAACCUCUGUUUCCUCUGUUCAGGCCAGCACAUCAAGUGCAUCUAUACAGCUUCCUGCAACAAGGGAUGUUGCAUACCAGGCUGACCCACUGGAGACACGUACUGUAGGCACACAGUUAUCCUUGAAGACUCUUCAGCCUCACAUCAGAAGUACAGUGUACCUCCAGACUCUACCUGGCUGCCAUGUACUACAAUGAAAAUGCUGACCGACCACAAGCCCAAACAAAAGAAGGUGAACCACUGUUCAAGGUCCAAUUUCCAAAGGCCAUGAAGGGAGAAUGCAGACCUACACCAGGAAUGUGGUGGACCUCAUAUUUGAAAAAGUCUUUGUUGACCCAGGACCAUACACAGAAGCUGCUUUGGCCAUCCCCAUCCCAGAGGACCUCACUGCACAGUUUGAGCGGCCUGAGAAGGAGGAGGUCAUAUCCAGCUAUGUGUCCCGGUUCUAUCAUGGGCCAGUCUAAAACCCACGUACUGAGGCCUGUGGCGUCAGGAAACUUGGCACUGAUGCGUAGGACCAGGCAGGCUGGAAAGACGACACAGAUUCUGCCACCAAGGAAGCCCCAGCACCAGCCCAUAAAGCUCCUAUAGGCUAGAUACCUGUACCGACUAAAACAACUGGACAGGGCAUUUAGUCUUGCAAAAAUAUCUAUGUUGUGUCUCACAAUUUUUUUUAUGGAUCCAGUGAAUCCUACAGUUUUUUUUAUUAUCACUGAUUAUAAGUUCCUCAUUUGAUGUAAAUAAAUGCUUGAUCAUUACUAAAGAAAUGACUCUUCUGAAUUCAUAUAUUAUAUGCACACUAUCUGCUGAUAGAAAACUUUACA